Molecule: transfer RNA, 73 nt
Organism: Nicotiana attenuata
Lineage: Eukaryota; Viridiplantae; Streptophyta; Magnoliopsida; Solanales; Solanaceae
Rfam family: tRNA
About the family: Transfer RNA (tRNA) molecules are approximately 80 nucleotides in length. Their secondary structure includes four short double-helical elements and three loops (D, anti-codon, and T loops).
Source: Rfam
GCUCUAUUAGCCUAGUUGGUUAGAGCACUCGUUUAGUAAGCGAAGGUCUUGAGUUUGAUUCUUAAUGAGAGCA